This is a long non-coding RNA of Polyodon spathula (Mississippi paddlefish), 353 nucleotides long. RefSeq lists it as uncharacterized. The record is from RefSeq and is a predicted model, not a curated record. NCBI's taxonomy places the organism in Eukaryota, Metazoa, Chordata, Actinopteri, Acipenseriformes, Polyodontidae. The transcript has 3 exons.
GGCAAAUGGCUGGAUGUAUAAAUCUCUUUUAGACGCUCUCACAGCACAGGGACCCUACCCUACUUACUACUGCAUGCAACUAAAAGAACAACAAGAAGACAUACAGAAACAUCAACAAUCCAGGAAGGUCCUCAUUUUAUAAGGCUUUAAAAGAAAUUAAAACAAAAGGUUUCGUUUUCACUUGGGAGCAACAGAUGUCACAGGAAAAAGGACCCCCUUGUUAAGGAGAUGUAUCUCAAAAGUUCAAUCCCGGAUAAAUUACAUGUUUUUAAUAUAUAUAAAUGCAUGUCUACAGGCCUUCCGUGAAUAAUGAAGACUUCAACUCGUGGAAACAUGGUAGACAGGCCCACCGC